This 145-nucleotide unclassified non-coding RNA is filed under the name uncultured fungus. RNAcentral's name for it is "sequence contains ITS1". Lineage: Eukaryota; Fungi. The record is from RNAcentral.
CAAUAAGUGUUUAUGGCACUUUCAAAUCCAUACCCACCUUGUGUGCAUUGUAAGGGGGCCCUUUCCCAAAAGACUGGGCUUCAUUUUUCUCACACGUCUUCAAUUGCAAGUCUAACAUUCAGAGUAAUCAAAAAAAACUCGAAUA